UCCACAUCAUCAUCUAAUCCU
This 21-nucleotide non-coding RNA is filed under the name Caenorhabditis elegans. The record is from RNAcentral. Lineage: Eukaryota; Metazoa; Nematoda; Chromadorea; Rhabditida; Rhabditidae.